RNAcentral lists this ribosomal RNA (253 nucleotides) under uncultured bacterium. Its description in RNAcentral is "partial 16S ribosomal RNA". It matches the Rfam family "Bacterial small subunit ribosomal RNA", at positions 524 to 776 of the family's 1533-position model. The record is from RNAcentral.
UACAGAGGUGGCAAGCGUUGUUCGGAAUUACUGGGCGUAAAGGGCGCGUAGGCGGCCUCCUGAGUCAGACGUGAAAUCCCCCGGCUUAACCUGGGAACUGCGUCUGAUACUGGGAGGCUUGAGUAUGGGAGAGGGAUGUAGAAUUCCAGGUGUAGCGGUGAAAUGCGUAGAUAUCUGGAGGAAUACCGGUGGCGAAGGCGGCAUCCUGGACCAUAACUGACGCUGAGGAGCGAAAGCCAGGGGAGCAAACGGG